This is a long non-coding RNA of Labrus mixtus (cuckoo wrasse), 265 nucleotides long. RefSeq lists it as uncharacterized. Lineage: Eukaryota; Metazoa; Chordata; Actinopteri; Labriformes; Labridae. The record is from RefSeq and is a predicted model, not a curated record. The transcript has 2 exons.
AUCCGUACACAAAGCCUUCGCACCCAGCUUAUAUCACAAUGCAAAUACAACCAGUAAUCACAAACAACUGCUCUCUUAAAUUAUAACAGAAUUUAUUUAAACAAAGCAACAUCAAUCCAAAAUCAAUUAACUUAAUCAAACAAAUAACUAUUAUAAACUAAUCUAAGCAACAAACAUUAUCAAGCAAGGCUUGUGAAUGAGGUGUAAAAGUGUAGUUGUGUGUGUGUAUGUGGAUGUAAGAGAGAGAGAGAGAGAGAGAGAGAGA